UCCAAAUUCAAACUUUGUGGCACUUUAUAUAUUGGCUAAUUGUUUAUUUUGAUCAUAUCAACUGUGAUGAAGUAAUUUUAAUGAUAAUUUUAUUUGUAUUGAAUAAUAUUCCUUUCUCUUCUCUAUUCUCAAGAAUUUCUUUUAGGUUUUAAAUUCCCUUUUUGGUCUUUAAUAUUUUUCUUGUCACAAAAUGCAUACAAAAAUAAAAUAUCCAGCAUGAUGCAACAAUUUGGUAGCAUAUCUUUUUAUUAAUUGUUCUUGGACAUGGUGUUCUCAUAUGAUGAUGCAUAAAGAUCGAACUCACAUAUAGAGAAAUUGUUUCUCUACUGGUACUAUUUCUAGCAAUUACAAAGUGGGUGUUACAAAUCCUACCCCCCUUAAAAAUAAUCUCGUCCUCGAGAUUUAGGAAGAACGAGGGAAAAGAUGAGGAAAAUCUAUGCGAAGCUCUUCUUCUCUUUCCCAAGUUGCUUCAUCUUCACCGUGGUGACUCCAUUGGACUUUGCACAUCUUUAUCACCUUAUUUCUUGUAACUCGAGUCAAUGUAUCCAAAAUCUUGAUAGGGUACUCCGUGUAAGUCAAAUCACCUUGAACACUGAGCUCUUCCAUGGGUAACUGUUCCUCAGGCACACGGAGACAUUUCUUAAGUUGGGACACGUGGAACACAUUAUGCACAUCUGAUAGACUAGCAGGUAACUCGAGUUGGUAUGCCAUCUCCCCAACUCUUCUAAAGAUCAAGAAUGGUCCAAUGUAGCGAGGGGACAAUUUGCCCUUAACUUUAAAUCUCCUCAUUCCACGCAGUGGUGACACCUUGAGGUACACAUAAUCUCCUUCUUCGAAUUCCAGUGGCCUUCUUCUAUUAUCAGCAUAGCUCUUUUGCCUGGUUUGAGCCACCCUCAAAUUCUCCCGAAUUAUACGAACUUGUUCUUCUGCUUCUUGAAUCAGUUCAGGCCCAAAGAACUGUCUCUCACCAGUCUGAUCCCAAUACAAAGGAGUCCUGCACUUUCUCCCAUAUAAAGCUUCAAAAGGUGACAUCUUCAGACUGGCCUGGUAACUAUUAUUAUACGAGAACUCAGCAUAAGGUAGACUCUUAUCCCAACUUCCUCCAUGCUGAAGGGCACAAGCUCUCAGCAUAUCCUCCAAGACUUGAUUUGUCCUUUCAGUCUGUCCAUCAGUCUGAGGGUGAUAAGCUGUACUGAAAUUCAACUUCGUACUCAUGUUCUCAUGAAAACUUCUCCAAAAUCUUGAGGUAAACUGUGAACCUCGAUCAGACACGAUCUUCUUUGGUACUCCAUGCAAACACACAAUUCGAGCCAUAUAUAACUCUGCUAGCUGAGAACCUUUAUAAGUAGUCUUCACAGGAAUAAAGUGAGCCACUUUAGUCAAUCUAUCCACAAUCACCCAUAUUGCAUCAUAUCCUUUCUGGGUGCGAGGCAAUCCAGUAAUGAAAUCCAUACCAAUCUCUUCCCAUUUCCACUCGGGUAUCUUCAGUGGAUGCAGUAGUCCAGCUGGCCUCUGGUGUUCAGCCUUAACUCUUUGACAUACAUCGCACAUAGCCACAUAUGCAGCCACAUCUCUCUUCAAUCCAUACCACCAAUACUUUCGCUUCAAAUCCUGGUACAUCUUGGUACUACCAGGAUGAAUAGAGUAAUCUGAAUCAUGGGCCUCUUUCAAUAUAGUCUCUCGAAGGCUUUUAAUAUUCGGAACACACAUUCUGUCCUUGAACCAUACAGUGCCUUGCUCAUCUUCUGUGAACUCCGGAACUCGACCUUCAGUAAUCAGAUCCUUAAUCUCUUUUAUUUUAGCAUCACCAAUUUGUCCUUUGCGGAUCUCCUGCUCCAAAGUAGGUUCCACAUCAAUAGUAACUCCUUCAGUAUGAGUAACUAUCCCCAGGUUAAGUCUCCUGAAAUCCUCAACAAUCUCAUCGGGUAGCUGGGCAACAAUAGUUGGAUGAACAUGCUCCUUGCGACUCAAGGCAUCUGCAACCAAAUUAGCCUUGACCGGGUGAUAGUGAAUCUCCAAAUCAUAAUCCUUUAUAAGCUCCAACCAACGACGUUGCCUAAGGUUGAGAUCCUUCUGAGUGAAUAUGUACUUCAAACUCUUAUGAUCCGUGUAUACUUGGCACUUAGUUCCCAUAAUAUAGUGUCUCCAAAUCUUAAGUGCAUGCACAACUGCAGCCAAUUCCAAGUCAUGAGUGGGGUAGUUCAAUUCAUGCUUCCGCAACUGACGAGAUGCAUAGGCAAUCACAUGACCAUCUUGCAUAAGCACACAUCCAAGUCCUUGGCCACAUGCAUCACAGUAAAUGUCAAAUCCCUUCUGCAGAUCUGGCAUAAUCAAUACUGGAGGUGACAUCAAUCUCUCCUUCAAUUGAUCAAAACUCUCUUGGCAUUUUUCAUCCCAUUUGAAUUCUCUUCCUUUCUCCAAAAGCGAUGUCAUGGGCUUAGCAAUCUUAGAAAAUCCUUCAAUAAAUCUCCGAUAAUAUCCUGCGAGUCCCAAGAAACUCCGAAUCUCCGUAACUGUAUUGGGCACUCUCCACUCCAUUAUCUCCUUAACCUUAGCAGGAUCCACUGAUAUUCCUCCAUUAGAAUUGAUAUGUCCAAGGAAUGACAUCUCGUCAAUCCAAAACUCGCAUUUGCUGUACUUGGCAUAGAGUUGAUUAUCUUGUAACUUCUGUAGCUCCAAUCUCAGAUGUUCCUCAUGAUCGCUUCACUCUUAGAAUAGAUAAGAAUAUCGUCGAUGAAUACCACGACGAAUCUGUCCAAAUACUCCAUAAACACCUUAUUCAUCAAAUUCACGAAAUAAGCCGGUGCAUUGGUUAAUCCAAAUGACAUAACAGUAAACUCAUAUAAUCCAUAUCGGGUCGAGAAAUCCGUCUUGAGAAUAUCCGAUGGCCAAAUCUUCAUUUGAUGGUAACCCGAUCGGAGAUCAGUCUUCGAGAAUACCCUUGCACCUCUCAUCUGAUUAAAUCUUCAAUACGGGGCAACAGAUACUUGUUCUUCACCGUAACAUCAUUAAGAGAUCUAUAAUCCACACACAUCCGCUGCGAUCCAUCCUUCUUCUGUACAAACAGAACCGGUGCUCCCCAAGGUGAGGAACUCGGACGAAUGUACCUAGCCUCUUGUAACUCAGUUAACUGCUUCUUAAGUUCCUUGAGCACUUCUACGAACAUCAUGUAUGGCCGUUUAGAAAUAGGAGCAGUCCUAGAUAAUUCUUCUGGGAAGACAUCCGGAAAAUCUCUAACCACACGGAUGUUGUCACCAACAAACUUCCCAUCUACUAAGAAUAUCGCUAGUCUAGUAGCGGUAGUUACUGCAAUUCCAACUUCAAAUCUUUCUCCUUUGGAACUGGUGAGUUCUAUGGUUCCUUUAGCACAGUGUAUAAACUGCCUUUGCCUUUCUUAACCAUGACAUACCAAGUAUCACGUCUAUAGUGUUCUCUUCUAACACUAUAGGGGUAGUCCAUCUCGGUUAGAAAUACAGGGUAAGAAAGGAAGAAUUGUAGACAAGGCGAGUAAUUACGAAUCAUGUUAUUUUUGGGGGAUUUAUUAGCUAAGCAGAUUAAUGUUUUACCUAUCAUAGCUAAUUCUUUACUUUAUAGUGGUACAUACUAAGAUGUCCAAAUAUAAUAUUUCAAACAUUCAAAGAAGCAAAUCAGACAUUUAUCAUCAGAACAAUCAAACAACGUUUUUAAUAGAGAAAAUAAUUUUAUUUUUUUGUCUUAGGUCUCCUAUCUCUUAAAAAGGUCAUAAAGGUAGGAUUCCAAAGUGUGAAAUCCAUCUUGUCUCAGAGUAGAAAAGGUAAGAAUCAUCAGAGUAGAACAGUAGAAGGUGAGACAGGAUCAAGAUAAGUGUAGAAAGAAUCAGAGUAAGGUGAGUAUAGAAUGAAUCAGAAUGAGAUAAGUAGGUAAGGGUUUUGUCCAUUUCUAUCUAGGUUUCGUCCUACAGUCAACAUUUCCUCUGAUACCACUUCUGUAACACCCGGCUUUAAGGAACAAAGCCAGGUGCAUCUCAUACAUGCGCCAAGAAGACAACAUAUAUAAUAACAGAGUGUAUAGAGAUAAAUGUCAUAAAUCAUCAGAGUAUUUAUUACAUAGCGGAAGACUUAUUACAAAGUAAAAGAUAAAUAUAAAACGAACUAAGGAUCGUCGGCGCCAAUGUCGACUAAGAAACGCCACCUAGAUCAGAUCGAACUCCUCAGUGUUAGGCGGCUCCUCUUCGACCACCUGCUCUUCUCCUGUGGGGGGGUGUGAGACAGCAAGAGUGAGCUCACAUACGUUCAUAGCUCAACAAGUCGUGGGGAAUAAUGUGGCAUGAACUCACCAAAGGUGGGAGUUCAUGAAGUGUAAGGUUGAUCAAUGAAAUAAAGGCUGAGGCUAAGCAUUGCUUUUAUAAGUUGGUCAAAAUUUUAUUAGCAAUUACUAAGUGUAAGUAAAUACCAAACCUUAUAAUAAUAAAGAACAGUAAUAGUAAAAUAAUCCCAAAUGCGAUGCAAAUGUCAAAUUGAAUUUAAGUUCCAUAAUUAACCAUGUGAGGGUCCGAGCCGCUCAUGACCGUGAGCACGGCUAGUAUACUAGUUUUACACUCUGCAGAGGUUGCGCAUCUUUACCCACAAGCCGUGUUACCCAUCUGCCAAGGGGUCAUGAAUUCCAUACACCUCUACCAAGGAAGCGAGGCAGGGUAACACUACGAGGCCUUUACAAAGUUCCACUAGCUUCAGACUACCCGCUACAGUUUAUAGGAAGUUCCAAUGCAGGGUUCCUGGCUGACCGCCAUCGCAGCAAAAUCAACCAGGGACCUCCCUACACUGACCACUCCCCUACUGCCCUUGCCCCUUUCGGGUAAGGCAGCCCUCCACUAGCUUUCCUAGUUAAUCAGCCAAGGGCGUCCCAUUAAACCCUUGUGGUAGCACUGUUUUCCCGGGUGGUCGCUCCAUGUUCCCAUUAAUUUAAUGAUCUUAACAUGAACAGUAAUAAUAACAAGAUAAUAACAGAAUAAUCAUGAAUAGUGUAUCUCCAUACCCAAUCCACAUAAAGCAAUAGCAAGUACUACCCAAAAAUAUUUCAGGGGUGAACAAGGUAUAGAGGUAAUCAAAACUGGGGUAACAUAAAGGCUCCCAUCAAAAUUAACCUAUGCAGAUCAUUAAAAUUAAUAAGAACAUGGCUGGGAAAAGUAAGUGAUCAAGGGCACAACUUGCCUUCAAUGAGCUCCUGCUCAGCUACUUCAACCUGCUGCUCACCAGGAUCCUCAGCAACGGGCUCUUCUACUCGCCACAAUACAAACAAGCACAGUGUAUAUAGAGAAAUUAACAUUACACCAAACAUAUAAAUAAAAUGCACAGUAAUAAUCUACAUAUUAAAAUAGAACCCUAGGAACAGGAAUCAAAAUUUUCUGAGUUAUAGAUUUUAAGUUAUGCCUUUUUUAAAGGUUUUAUGUGCUUUAAAUAGGAUUAAAUGUGAAAUAAAUUUCUUACUGUUUUCAUGACAUAACAGAGGCCCUAGGUGCUAAAGAAUAAAAUUACAAAAUUUUAGUAACUGGAAUGAAGUGAUUUGGAGUUAGUAUGAAUUUUCUAUGAAUUUAUUAAGUUCUAGUAAUUAUUUUCAUAUUAAAAAUUCAUUUUCUAUUUACUUUCUCUGGUUUUCGUGUUGACUGGACUGGGCCUCAAAAUCUGAGAACAGCAGGGGGCUCUGGGUAAAAUCCUCUAAGACUCAGAUCACCCGCACAGUGGACCGCGGGUUAUUUAUCUAAAACCCGAGGGACUCUUUUAGAAAACGGCUUCGACGAAGAGGUAUGAGGACACUACGGCCAUCCGAUUAGAGCCCGACGGCGUGGAUUAGAUAGGCCCAAGGCCCAAACCGGUCACACGCGACUGCCGUCCGAUUGUAUACCAGCGCCCCAGAUUCAAAGUAGCCUUGAUCCCCCCCGACCGCACGAUUCCAAAUCAACGGCUCCUACCUAAAGUGGCGAACGGGUACGCGCAGAUCUAAUCGCAGCCGUUCACGCGAUGAUCAACGGGCGCGAAUCUCUCUUCUCCCCCCGACCUACCAAGACGGCGGCGCCGCCGCGAUUCCCACCCGGUUGAACUCCGGUGAGGUGGAAUCGGUGUUCCCCAAGUGCUAAGCCUCAAAUUGAAUCGAUAUUUACCAUGCGGAAAUCAAAACGAUCACGAGGAACGGAUACAUACCGGCAAUCGAGACACCGACGACGCUGGCCACGCAACGAUGCGGUUCCGCGGCUGCGCCCGCGCUCCGGCGAGAAAUCAACCUCGCCCUGCUGCCGGAUUCGCCUCACCAAGUGCACGAACAGCUUCACCACGCCCCUGGGAGGUUCCACAACCCGGCAACGCGACCAGGUCGGCUAGGGGGAAAGCUUUCCCCGAUCCGCGGGACGCGAUCCUCACGGCUCUCACGGCAAAGGUGGAUAUCGCUUUGGUUAGAGCUGCCUACACGCCGAUGAAGAAAAGAGGAGGAUGAGGAUCGGGUUCCGGUCUUCAUAUGGCCGUCCAAGGUCCGCCUGCGCCCACACAACGGAUCCCGCAAUCUGCGCCAUGACCGAGUCCGAGCACGCCCGGGUCGCGCGGCGAAGAAAGGGUACGGUUCUGGCAGAGCGGGCCCGCACGGCAGUGAAAGGGAGGGAGGAGCGAGCGCGGUAGUUCGCUAUGGCCGGGAGCGCGCGAGUUCACCGGCGGAAUCAACGGAGUCCACGCCCAGCGGCGAAAUCACCGCGAGGUGGGUGACGAGCCUGACCGAGGGGUCCCACGCGGCAGUGGCCGGUAAGCGAAGAGUCGGACGUGUGUAUGACCGAGCGGUCCCACCCGUCGGCGCGCGUAGGCUGGGGAAGUGGGCUGCACGAGGGUAACGGCAGGUGGGCCGAAAUGGAGCGCCAGGGCCCAGUUAGCUUCUUUUCUUUUUUUUUCUUUUUAUUUUCUGUUUCAUUUCUUUUUCAAAUUCAAACUUCAAUCCAAAUUCAAACUUUGUGGCACUUUAUAUAUUGGCUAAUUGUUUAUUUUGAUCAUAUCAACUGUGAUGAAGUAAUUUUAAUGAUAAUUUUAUUUGUAUUGAAUAAUAUUCCUUUCUCUUCUCUAUUCUCAAGAAUUUCUUUUAGGUUUUAAAUUCCCUUUUUGGUCUUUAAUAUUUUUCUUGUCACAAAAUGCAUACAAAAAUAAAAUAUCCAGCAUGAUGCAACAAUUUGGUAGCAUAUCUUUUUAUUAAUUGUUCUUGGACAUGGUGUUCUCAUAUGAUGAUGCAUAAAGAUCGAACUCACAUAUAGAGAAAUUGUUUCUCUACUGGUACUAUUUCUAGCAAUUACAAAGUGGGUGUUACAACUUAUAAUUAGCAAAUUAGGUGUUGUUAAUAAAAUAUUGACCUACUAAAAUGCUUACCGCACAACCAUAGCCUAUCUUGUUAACCUUGCAUAGUUUCUUCCAUUUGCUGAGCCCCCACCGUAAGUAAGUUCACCCCUUGCUAAAUUUUUUAUAUGAGGUGGUGAGGAAGACUUUGACGAAGAUCUUGAUGAGUACCGAGUCUAGCGGCGUUGUGGUCAUCUUCCUGUGGGAGAUCAGCCAUGUUAUUUCUACUGUACUUUGAUUAUGAUACUGUUUAAGACACUUAAGUCUGGAUGAUGUAAUAAAGUUAUUAUACUCUCUUUUACGCCUUUAUUGCAUUGUCUUUUGAUAUAUUACACUUGUGACGUCAACAUAUGUGUGGAAAAAGGAUCCUAGCACACAUAUGCUAUGCAUUCGGUUUGGCCCCUAAAACCGGGUGUGACAAACACCUAGGGGUGGGCACUUUUUAACCGUAAACCGAAAACCUAACCGUACCAAAAUUUUGGUAGCUCAGUUUUGGUUUUUGUAUCCAAGAAGUUCUGUGUUCGUUAUCAUAAUAAGUUUUCAUGGUAUGCCAAACCGAAAUACCAAAAAAACCGAAUACCAAACUUUAUCAGUUCUAAAAUUUGACUAUUUGAUUAUGUGAACUAAACGUGUGAUGCAAUUAAAUUGAUAUUCACUUAUUUGCAUGUGAUAUAUGAUCAUCUCUAAAUAUGUGUACCUAUAUAAUUUUUACUUUUU
This 8057-nucleotide long non-coding RNA is filed under the name Zea mays. Its description in RNAcentral is "long non-coding RNA (ZMAY_LNC003228)". Lineage: Eukaryota; Viridiplantae; Streptophyta; Magnoliopsida; Poales; Poaceae. The record is from RNAcentral.